Molecule: ribosomal RNA, 440 nt
Filed under: uncultured bacterium
Lineage: Bacteria
Description: partial 16S ribosomal RNA
Rfam family: Bacterial small subunit ribosomal RNA
Source: RNAcentral
CCUACGGGAGACAGCAGUGGGGAAUAUUGCGCAAUGGGGGAAACCCUGAUGCAGCGACGCCGCGUGAGUGAAGAAGUAAUUCGUUAUGUAAAGCUCUAUCAGCAGGGAAGAAAAUGACGGUACCCACAGAGGAAGCACCGGCUAACUCCGUGCCAGCAGCCGCGGUAAUACGGAGGGUGCAAGCGUUGUCCGGAAUCAUUGGGCGUAAAGAGUUCGUAGGCGGUAUGUUAAGUCUGGUGUUAAAUGCAGAAGCUCAACUUCUGUUCGGCACUGGAUACUGGCAAACUAGAAUGCGGUAGAGGUAAAGGGAAUUCCUGGUGUAGCGGUGAAAUGCUUAGAUAUCAGGAGGAACAUCGGUGGCGUAAGCGCUUUACUGGGCCGUAAUUGACGCUGAGGAACGAAAGCCAGGGUAGCAAAUGGGAUUAGAUACCCCAGUAGUC